RNAcentral lists this ribosomal RNA (2930 nucleotides) under Escherichia coli. RNAcentral's name for it is "bacterial LSU rRNA". It matches the Rfam family "Bacterial large subunit ribosomal RNA". The record is from RNAcentral. Lineage: Bacteria; Pseudomonadati; Pseudomonadota; Gammaproteobacteria; Enterobacterales; Enterobacteriaceae.
GGGUUGUGAGGUUAAGCGACUAAGCGUACACGGUGGAUGCCCUGGCAGUCAGAGGCGAUGAAGGACGUGCUAAUCUGCGAUAAGCGUCGGUAAGGUGAUAUGAACCGUUAUAACCGGCGAUUUCCGAAUGGGGAAACCCAGUGUGUUUCGACACACUAUCAUUAACUGAAUCCAUAGGUUAAUGAGGCGAACCGGGGGAACUGAAACAUCUAAGUACCCCGAGGAAAAGAAAUCAACCGAGAUUCCCCCAGUAGCGGCGAGCGAACGGGGAGCAGCCCAGAGCCUGAAUCAGUGUGUGUGUUAGUGGAAGCGUCUGGAAAGGCGUGCGAUACAGGGUGACAGCCCCGUACACAAAAAUGCACAUGCUGUGAGCUCGAUGAGUAGGGCGGGACACGUGGUAUCCUGUCUGAAUAUGGGGGGACCAUCCUCCAAGGCUAAAUACUCCUGACUGACCGAUAGUGAACCAGUACCGUGAGGGAAAGGCGAAAAGAACCCCGGCGAGGGGAGUGAAAAAGAACCUGAAACCGUGUACGUACAAGCAGUGGGAGCACGCUUAGGCGUGUGACUGCGUACCUUUUGUAUAAUGGGUCAGCGACUUAUAUUCUGUAGCAAGGUUAACCGAAUAGGGGAGCCGAAGGGAAACCGAGUCUUAACUGGGCGUUAAGUUGCAGGGUAUAGACCCGAAACCCGGUGAUCUAGCCAUGGGCAGGUUGAAGGUUGGGUAACACUAACUGGAGGACCGAACCGACUAAUGUUGAAAAAUUAGCGGAUGACUUGUGGCUGGGGGUGAAAGGCCAAUCAAACCGGGAGAUAGCUGGUUCUCCCCGAAAGCUAUUUAGGUAGCGCCUCGUGAAUUCAUCUCCGGGGGUAGAGCACUGUUUCGGCAAGGGGGUCAUCCCGACUUACCAACCCGAUGCAAACUGCGAAUACCGGAGAAUGUUAUCACGGGAGACACACGGCGGGUGCUAACGUCCGUCGUGAAGAGGGAAACAACCCAGACCGCCAGCUAAGGUCCCAAAGUCAUGGUUAAGUGGGAAACGAUGUGGGAAGGCCCAGACAGCCAGGAUGUUGGCUUAGAAGCAGCCAUCAUUUAAAGAAAGCGUAAUAGCUCACUGGUCGAGUCGGCCUGCGCGGAAGAUGUAACGGGGCUAAACCAUGCACCGAAGCUGCGGCAGCGACGCUUAUGCGUUGUUGGGUAGGGGAGCGUUCUGUAAGCCUGCGAAGGUGUGCUGUGAGGCAUGCUGGAGGUAUCAGAAGUGCGAAUGCUGACAUAAGUAACGAUAAAGCGGGUGAAAAGCCCGCUCGCCGGAAGACCAAGGGUUCCUGUCCAACGUUAAUCGGGGCAGGGUGAGUCGACCCCUAAGGCGAGGCCGAAAGGCGUAGUCGAUGGGAAACAGGUUAAUAUUCCUGUACUUGGUGUUACUGCGAAGGGGGGACGGAGAAGGCUAUGUUGGCCGGGCGACGGUUGUCCCGGUUUAAGCGUGUAGGCUGGUUUUCCAGGCAAAUCCGGAAAAUCAAGGCUGAGGCGUGAUGACGAGGCACUACGGUGCUGAAGCAACAAAUGCCCUGCUUCCAGGAAAAGCCUCUAAGCAUCAGGUAACAUCAAAUCGUACCCCAAACCGACACAGGUGGUCAGGUAGAGAAUACCAAGGCGCUUGAGAGAACUCGGGUGAAGGAACUAGGCAAAAUGGUGCCGUAACUUCGGGAGAAGGCACGCUGAUAUGUAGGUGAAGUCCCUCGCGGAUGGAGCUGAAAUCAGUCGAAGAUACCAGCUGGCUGCAACUGUUUAUUAAAAACACAGCACUGUGCAAACACGAAAGUGGACGUAUACGGUGUGACGCCUGCCCGGUGCCGGAAGGUUAAUUGAUGGGGUCAGCGCAAGCGAAGCUCUUGAUCGAAGCCCCGGUAAACGGCGGCCGUAACUAUAACGGUCCUAAGGUAGCGAAAUUCCUUGUCGGGUAAGUUCCGACCUGCACGAAUGGCGUAAUGAUGGCCAGGCUGUCUCCACCCGAGACUCAGUGAAAUUGAACUCGCUGUGAAGAUGCAGUGUACCCGCGGCAAGACGGAAAGACCCCGUGAACCUUUACUAUAGCUUGACACUGAACAUUGAGCCUUGAUGUGUAGGAUAGGUGGGAGGCUUGGAAGUGUGGACGCCAGUCUGCAUGGAGCCGACCUUGAAAUACCACCCUUUAAUGUUUGAUGUUCUAACGUGGACCCGUGAUCCGGGUUGCGGACAGUGUCUGGUGGGUAGUUUGACUGGGGCGGUCUCCUCCUAAAGAGUAACGGAGGAGCACGAAGGUUGGCUAAUCCUGGUCGGACAUCAGGAGGUUAGUGCAAUGGCAUAAGCCAGCUUGACUGCGAGCGUGACGGCGCGAGCAGGUGCGAAAGCAGGUCAUAGUGAUCCGGUGGUUCUGAAUGGAAGGGCCAUCGCUCAACGGAUAAAAGGUACUCCGGGGAUAACAGGCUGAUACCGCCCAAGAGUUCAUAUCGACGGCGGUGUUUGGCACCUCGAUGUCGGCUCAUCACAUCCUGGGGCUGAAGUAGGUCCCAAGGGUAUGGCUGUUCGCCAUUUAAAGUGGUACGCGAGCUGGGUUUAGAACGUCGUGAGACAGUUCGGUCCCUAUCUGCCGUGGGCGCUGGAGAACUGAGGGGGGCUGCUCCUAGUACGAGAGGACCGGAGUGGACGCAUCACUGGUGUUCGGGUUGUCAUGCCAAUGGCACUGCCCGGUAGCUAAAUGCGGAAGAGAUAAGUGCUGAAAGCAUCUAAGCACGAAACUUGCCCCGAGAUGAGUUCUCCCUGACUCCUUGAGAGUCCUGAAGGAACGUUGAAGACGACGACGUUGAUAGGCCGGGUGUGUAAGCGCAGCGAUGCGUUGAGCUAACCGGUACUAAUGAACCGUGAGGCUUAACCUUACAACGCCGAAGCUGUU